UGUGAUGGGGAGCGAAAUUUAGUAGCGAAGUAGCUGAUUUCACACUGUCAAGAAAAGUCUCUAUCGAGGUUAAAGGUACCCGUACCGCAAACCGACACAGGUGGGUGAGGAGAGUAUCCUAAGGCCAGCGAGAGAACUGUUGUUAAGGAACUCGGCAAAAUGACCCCGUAACUUAGGGAUAAGGGGUGCCACCAUCAGGUGGCCGCAGAGAAUAGGC
This 217-nucleotide ribosomal RNA is filed under the name Clostridioides difficile. Its description in RNAcentral is "partial 23S ribosomal RNA". It matches the Rfam family "Bacterial large subunit ribosomal RNA", at positions 1562 to 1791 of the family's 2925-position model. The record is from RNAcentral. Lineage: Bacteria; Bacillati; Bacillota; Clostridia; Peptostreptococcales; Peptostreptococcaceae.